RNAcentral lists this ribosomal RNA (503 nucleotides) under uncultured bacterium. RNAcentral's name for it is "partial 16S ribosomal RNA". It matches the Rfam family "Bacterial small subunit ribosomal RNA", at positions 30 to 523 of the family's 1533-position model. The record is from RNAcentral.
AUUGAACGCUGGCGGCAGGCUUAACACAUGCAAGUCGAGCGGGGUGAUGGUGCUUGCACUAUCACUUAGCGGCGGACGGGUGAGUAAUGCUUAGGAAUCUGCCUAUUAGUGGGGGACAACAUCUCGAAAGGGAUGCUAAUACCGCAUACGUCCUACGGGAGAAAGCAGGGGAUCACUUGUGACCUUGCGCUAAUAGAUGAGCCUAAGUCGGAUUAGCUAGUUGGUGGGGUAAAGGCCUACCAAGGCGACGAUCUGUAGCGGGUAUGAGAGGAUGAGCAGCAACACGGGGACUGAGACACGGCCCAGCAUCCGACGGGAGGUAGCAGUGGGGAAUAUUGGACAAUGGGGGGAACCCUGAUCCAGCCAUGCCGCGUGUGUGAAGAAGGCCUUAUGGUUGUAAAGCACUUUAAGCGAGGAGGAGACUCUUUUGGUUAAUACCCAAGAUGAGUGGACGUUACUCGCAGAAUAAGCACCGGCUAACUCUGUGCCAGCCGCCGCGGUAA